GUUUUAAUAAUUUAAAAAAAAUAAUGAUUUUGUAAAUCAUAAUUGAAUAUAUUUCUUAAAACU
Molecule: transfer RNA, 63 nt
Filed under: Stenopirates sp. HL-2011
Lineage: Eukaryota; Metazoa; Arthropoda; Insecta; Hemiptera; Enicocephalidae
Description: tRNA-Thr
Source: RNAcentral